AAAAAAUGUCCCUACUCUCCCUUAAACGAAAUUCUCUCUGCUGUUCUCAUUCUUCAUGACCAUCAUGGACCCCGGUUCAUGGAGUGAGAAUGUUUUAGUCUGCCAAGAGAAAAGUACAAUGGUAAAAGAAGCUCUUCUGGAGAAAACUAUAUUUGCUGAAGAUAGCUGAAGAUGGGCCGCGGAAGGAAAGGCAUUAAGUGCAGCCAAAUGGUGUGGCUCUGCAGUGCUUGGUAAUCAGGCAGCACAUGGGGCCUCCUAUGCAAUUCUGCAAAACUCUGUCUAUUGCUGAGGCAGUCUCCAUGGUGAUCCAUGGAACGGGAGCAUGUGAGAGAGUGGGGUUA
Long non-coding RNA from Gopherus evgoodei (Goodes thornscrub tortoise), 341 nucleotides. RefSeq lists it as uncharacterized. The transcript has 3 exons. The record is from RefSeq and is a predicted model, not a curated record. NCBI's taxonomy places the organism in Eukaryota, Metazoa, Chordata, Testudines, Testudinidae.